Molecule: unclassified non-coding RNA, 334 nt
Filed under: soil metagenome
Description: partial contains 5.8S ribosomal RNA, internal transcribed spacer 2, and large subunit ribosomal RNA
Rfam family: 5.8S ribosomal RNA (bases 1-121)
Source: RNAcentral
GAUGAAGGAACGCAGCAAAAUGCGAUAAGUAAUGUGAAUUGCAGAAUUCAGUGAAUCAUCGAAUCUUUGAACGCACAUUGCGCCCGCCAGUAUUCUGGCGGGCAUGCCUGUUCGAGCGUCAUUUCAACCCUCAAGCACAGCUUGGUGUUGGGACUCGCGUUAAUUCGCGUUCCCCAAAUUGAUUGGCGGUCACGUCGAGCUUCCAUAGCGUAGUAGUAAAACCCUCGUUACUGGUAAUCGUCGCGGCCACGCCGUUAAACCCCAACUUCUGAAUGUUGACCUCGGAUCAGGUAGGAAUACCCGCUGAACUUAAGCAUAUCAAUAAGCGGGAGGA